UCUAAGAUAGACAAAUCCUUAGGCCCUAU
RNAcentral lists this non-coding RNA (29 nucleotides) under Mus musculus (house mouse). The record is from RNAcentral. Lineage: Eukaryota; Metazoa; Chordata; Mammalia; Rodentia; Muridae.